AGUAUUUUACAGGCCAGCCAAGGAAGUAACUGAAUGCACUUGCUUGGAGAAAGAAUAGAAGGCUCAGAGAAGAUGUCCAAAUCUGGUGCACCCCUGCCGCACCAGGCAUAUUAUUCUAGGCUGCUGUGAAAAUGUGGCUGCCAGGGAACGUGAAGGCUCUGGGCAAAAUCUGGAUGAUUUUUCUCUUUGGUUUGUGGGCUUCUGGAGACCAUGACUAAUGAUGGAUUUGUGAAGCUUCCAUGUAGAUCCCAUGUCUCAUGCCUGGUUGCUCUGAUCAGAAGGAGGCACUCUGCUCUGCUUGGAAGCAGUACUUUCAGAGGACACCAGGAGUUAUGUGGGCCCUGUUUUCCUUCCUGUGGAGGAAGAAGCAUUCACGUUCACAUGCUAUUAGUUGUUUCGAGAUUGUUUAAGAAGCCACGGCUUGAACUAGCAGGGGAUCUUUCCUUCAGUGACCUUUGCCAGAGCAGCUGAUUGGUGUGCUCCAGCUGCAUGCCAUCAUUUUCUUGGGAAAAUUUUAAGACUGUCAGAAAAAUGAGCAUCUUCUUUCCUAGCCCUUACUGACAUGUAUGGGCUUUGCUGGCCUUUCCAACUCCAGUGUGGGAGGGGUUGUUUGUUUUCCUUUUAAAUGUUAUCCUGCCAUCCUCCUUUUUUAACAAUGCUGUUAUAUACAUGAAGACUUGCUGUGUAUUCAGUGUGGCACAUGGAUGGAGUGGAUGCUUUGAACUGCUUUUGCAACAAUGGAUUCUGCUUGACUGAUAAUGAAACCAUGGGAUAGACCUCAGGGAGUGGUAAAGAGAUGAGGGAUCGUGAGGUCACUGUGCCAUGUGGGACAUCAACUGAAUGUGCCAAAGAUUGUGAACAUGAGUCUUCUCACAAGCCCUGUUGAUGAUGUUGGAGAAAGCAUUUGUCCUGGACAAGAUGGUUCUCAGCUCCUGUAACUCAAAUCUGUGCUUAUUCUGGGGACCUUUCAAAUAAGUUUCUCGGUGGUCAACAAUUGUAUUAGCUAUUCCUCUUGGCUUAGGAAUAGACUGAGAGACCUGCUUUAAAAAAGGUCUACUGACAUAAAUGAUCCAUUCUUAUCAGUGUUUAUACCAUCACUAGCUGGAUUUGAAACUAUUCCCAGUUCAAUAUCUGAUUGCCAAUACUCUGAGCAGUCUUUCAAGGUCAGUGAAGUGGCAUCAUAAAUGAAGUAUAAAAUGUAUCAUACCAGUGGUUUACAACAAGCCCACAGCACAGCUCAGUUAGUUGAUGGGCCAUCUCUGUUUAUGUUAGCUGUUAAAAACUCAUGCACACAGCCAUACUAAGUACUGAUGCCAUCAAAUGUGGUCAACACAGACAGUUCAGCCUGCAAAAGUGAGCCAGAAAAGGCAUUAAAAUGCUUAGUCUAUUACAUACUUCCUUAUUUUUGUCAUUUUGACAUUUAUGCGUUGUAUCAUUGAGGCUUUUGAAAAAGAAGACACAAUUCCUGAAGCAAACUGAACGGAGAUGUUCAGUUUAUAAUGCCACAGCCGUCUGGUUUGCAUUUAAUUCCAAUUGACCACCUGCAUGCUGUUAACCUCUGGAAGGUUACUGUGAUCACAGUUGUUGUUGUUUAUUUAAAAGUUCUGUAGCUCAAGGAAAAUGUUAGUAAUCAGUUACUUAACCUACACUGUUUACUGAUCUCAUUGAACUUGCAGAUGCAGCUUUGCUGGCCAGUGAAAACUGGGAGUUGUCUGGUGCCAGUAAUAGCUUGCACUUAUUUUUCAGGCAGGAGUAGGUUGAGCAAUUAAAAUAAUUUUAUUUUUUUAAUAAAUAUGCUCUUUGUCUGUUGGCUAUUUGUCUAAUAUGUCAAAAUCCAAAAUAUAACUUAGAGCAUGUGGAAGGUAGCUCUAAAUGAGCCAAAAUUUCACAGAGGCAUGCUUGAGUUGUGAAUGCAGCUGGCUACACAGGCAAACCCCCAGAGCUGCAUGUGAAAACAUACAGGAAUUGCAGAGGUAAUUCAAGUGUAUAAGACAGAUGCAUUCAUAUUAAUGUUCUCUGGCCAGGAAUACU
This is a long non-coding RNA of Melospiza melodia melodia, 2031 nucleotides long. RefSeq lists it as uncharacterized. NCBI's taxonomy places the organism in Eukaryota, Metazoa, Chordata, Aves, Passeriformes, Passerellidae. The transcript is spliced from 7 exons. The record is from RefSeq and is a predicted model, not a curated record.